This 361-nucleotide transfer RNA is filed under the name uncultured Microcystis sp. RNAcentral describes it as "partial 16S-23S ribosomal RNA intergenic spacer". The stretch from base 136 to 209 matches the Rfam family "tRNA". Lineage: Bacteria; Bacillati; Cyanobacteriota; Cyanophyceae; Chroococcales; Microcystaceae. The record is from RNAcentral.
AAAGGGAGACCUAAUUCAGGUAAGAGACGAAAAAAAAGUAGUCGCUACCAAGGAUCAAUCCCAAAAGGUCGGAGCGAGGCGAAAUUGGCUUUCAAACUAGGUUCUGGGUUCAAACAAGACCUGAAUCAGGAACAAGGGCUAUUAGCUCAGGUGGUUAGAGCGCACCCCUGAUAAGGGUGAGGUCCCUGGUUCGAGUCCAGGAUGGCCCACCUGCACAGGUGGCAAAAACAAGAGAAGCGAGGAAUCAGCACCUUAUCUUACUUAUAUAGUAAGAGAGAAUGCUGGCUCUGAGUAAAGAGUCCAGAGGAACCUUGAAAACUGCAUAGAGCUAGGUGAAAAAGCCAAAAAAGAAGACCGCAAG